AGCGAACGCUGGCGGCAGGCCUAACACAUGCAAGUCGAACGGAUCCUUCGGGAUUAGUGGCGGACGGGUGAGUAACACGUGGGAACGUGCCUUUUGGUUCGGAAUAACUCAGGGAAACCUGUGCUAAUACCGGAUGUGCCCUUCGGGGGAAAGAUUUAUCGCCAUUAGAGCGGCCCGCGUCUGAUUAGCUAGUUGGUGAGGUAAAGGCUCACCAAGGCGACGAUCAGUAGCUGGUCUGAGAGGAUGAUCAGCCACACUGGGACUGAGACACGGCCCAGACUCCUACGGGAGGCAGCAGUGGGGAAUCUUGCGCAAUGGGCGAAAGCCUGACGCAGCCAUGCCGCGUGAAUGAUGAAGGUCUUAGGAUUGUAAAAUUCUUUCACCGGGGACGAUAAUGACGGUACCCGGAGAAGAAGCCCCGGCUAACUUCGUGCCAGCAGCCGCGGUAACAC
This 452-nucleotide ribosomal RNA is filed under the name uncultured bacterium. Its description in RNAcentral is "bacterial SSU rRNA". It matches the Rfam family "Bacterial small subunit ribosomal RNA", at positions 29 to 526 of the family's 1533-position model. The record is from RNAcentral.